Molecule: ribosomal RNA, 253 nt
Filed under: uncultured bacterium
Lineage: Bacteria
Description: partial 16S ribosomal RNA
Rfam family: Bacterial small subunit ribosomal RNA
Source: RNAcentral
UACGUAGGGUGCAAGCGUUGUCCGGAAUUAUUGGGCGUAAAGAGCUCGUAGGCGGUCUGUUACGUCGGCUGUGAAAACCUGGGGCUCAACCCCGGGCCUGCAACCGAUACGGGCAGACUAGAAUUCGGUAGGGGAGACUGGAAUUCUUGGUGUAGCGGUGAAAUGCGUAGAUAUCAAGAGGAACACCUGAGGUGAAGACGGGUUGCUGGGCCGACACUGACGCUGAAGCGCGAAAGCCAGGGGAGCAAACGGG